CGGGACGUGGCGCAGCCUGGUAGCGCACUUGCUUGGGGUGCAAGGGGUCGCCAGUUCAAAUCUGGCCGUCCCGACCA
RNAcentral lists this transfer RNA (77 nucleotides) under Acidobacteria bacterium Mor1. RNAcentral's name for it is "tRNA-Pro". It matches the Rfam family "tRNA". Rfam says of the family: Transfer RNA (tRNA) molecules are approximately 80 nucleotides in length. The record is from RNAcentral. Lineage: Bacteria; Pseudomonadati; Acidobacteriota. RNAcentral also lists the same sequence under 6 other names.